AUCUGAUAACGGUAAAGAAAUAUAAAGGCAAUGAAACGUGUCUGAGGACCUCUCCAGAGAAGAUGCAUUGGGCUCUGGAAACCUGCUGCGGUCAAAGAAGAGUCACCGUCCUUUAAGUGCCAAGAAGAGCCCUUCCACCCUCUGGUGCAAGAAGACUUUGAACAAGAAUUGGAAGCUAAAGCUACCAAAGAAGUUGAAAGAAAACUAAGCAGGGAUUUAGUGCAAGAAGAGGAAGAACAGUUGAUGGAAGAAAGGAAAAAGAGAAAAGAAGACAAGAAGAAGAAGGAAGCUGCUCAAAAAAAGGUAUGUUGAACACUAAAAAAUACAAACCUGUGCUUAUGGGUUACUUUUGUUUCAUCACUAGUAACUCUGGUUUAGCUGU
This 382-nucleotide long non-coding RNA is filed under the name Athene cunicularia (burrowing owl). RNAcentral's name for it is "lncRNA (ENSACUG00000002198.1)". The record is from RNAcentral. Lineage: Eukaryota; Metazoa; Chordata; Aves; Strigiformes; Strigidae.